AUGCUGAAACGAAAAUAUAAAAAAUACCUGGAGCCUGGCAGUGUGUCCAUCAUACCUGCCAAAACCAGACAAAGGCUGGAGAAGAAGGUUGGUUUUGAGGUAGAAGCUAUUACAGGCACAAGUAAGGCCCUUUUGCUUGCAGACCACACCUAUUCAGAUGAGUCCUCUUUGGAGGUAGAAGGCACCUCAAAGACAAACAUCACCUGCUCAUACUCAUGCCAGGCCAAAACUGACAUAAGUGAUGCACUUUUCCAACUUAAUGAGUUGGCUUCAGUCUCAGAGGUGGAAAGCAUUAUUGAGACAAACACAGCCCUUUUGGUUACAGACCAGACCUGUUCAGAUACAGAUGAGUCCUUUUUGGAUAUAAAUGAGUUGUCUUCAGAUUCAGAGGUAGUUACACUAUAUCCAACUGAUCCCUGUGUGAUUAUAAACUGCCAUCAGAGUAGUAAAAGUGAUUAAUCAUAUUGUGAUUUCCAUCCGCAAAGAGGGCAUCAAUUACCAAUGACCAAUACCGUGACCUUAAAUACCCUAGUGUGCAGAGUGUAAGUCAGACAACUUUAGUUCUUAGUAUAAUGUUUACGGUUAUUUUGCACAUGGAAAGUGAAAUAUAAAUAUUAUUAACCCUCUGGAGUCUAAGGGUAUUUUUGGGGCCUGGAUUUUUUUUUUCUAAAUGAUGUGAAAAUCAUCUUGUUUACUCACUUACAGAAAACAAUAUAUUGAUUUAAAUUUUCUAAGACACUUUUUGUUGGUAAAAGUCAUAUGCGAGUAGGCGUCAACUAUCAUGAAUUCACACCUGAGAAGACAAAGGCCUGCAUAAUGAGCUGCAUAAUGAGCCAUUCAGUCAGCUGUGUCACUGAGAGGGAUGAGUUACAAGAAAGAAUGUGAGGACAAAAUAAAUGUAUAUAAUUUUAUGUUUGUAGUUUAUUU
Molecule: long non-coding RNA, 927 nt
Organism: Cyprinus carpio (common carp)
Lineage: Eukaryota; Metazoa; Chordata; Actinopteri; Cypriniformes; Cyprinidae
Source: Ensembl